CAAUAGCGUAUAUUAAAGUUGUUGCGGUUAAAAAGCUCGUAGUUGGAUUUCUGUCGGAGACGCGCGGUCCGCACUAUGUGCGUGUAUCUGUGUCGGCUCUGGCAUCCUCCUGGGGAACGGUGCUGCGCUUGAUUGCGUGGUCCGGUAUUCAGGACUUUUACUUUGAGGAAAUUAGAGUGUUUACGGCAGGCAAGCGCCUUGAAUAUAUUAGCAUGGAAUAAUAAGAUAGGACCUCGGUUCUAUUUUUUCGGUUUCUAGAGCUGAGGUAAUGAUUAACAGGGAUAGUUGGGGGCAUUCGUAUUUAACUGUCAGAGGUGAAAUUCUUGGAUUUGUUAAAGACGAACUACUGCGAAAGCAUUUGCCAAGGAUGUUUUCAUUGAUCAAGAACGAAAGUUAGGGAUCGAAGACGAUCAGAUACCAU
Molecule: ribosomal RNA, 421 nt
Filed under: uncultured eukaryote
Lineage: Eukaryota
Description: SSU rRNA
Rfam family: Eukaryotic small subunit ribosomal RNA
Source: RNAcentral